ACCUGGGUGGCUCAGUGGUUGAGCACCUGCCUUCGACUCAGGGCCUGAUCCUGGAGCGUGGGAUUGAGUCCCACAUUGGGCU
RNAcentral lists this transfer RNA (82 nucleotides) under Canis lupus familiaris (dog). It matches the Rfam family "tRNA". From Rfam's summary of the family: Transfer RNA (tRNA) molecules are approximately 80 nucleotides in length. Their secondary structure includes four short double-helical elements and three loops (D, anti-codon, and T loops). The record is from Rfam by way of RNAcentral. Lineage: Eukaryota; Metazoa; Chordata; Mammalia; Carnivora; Canidae. RNAcentral also lists the same sequence under 1 other name.